CGACGGCCCAGAUCAAUCGCGCGAUCGGACGGCCCAUAUUCAAACGCACGGACGGCCCAGAUUCAAUCAAAAACGAACGGCCCAGAUUAAAACGAAAUGAACGGCUGUGAUCAAAAGGCAAUGGGUUAUAAAUAGAACCCCCACACCAGACCACAAACCCUAGCCGCCAGCCGCUCGCCGGAGAAGACGAACCAGAGGCCGACCGCCGCCACCCGCCGCCACUCGCCGCCGCACCGGGGAAAUUUCCGACCGCCGAUCGAGGUAAAUUUCAUACCCCCGACUCGUUUUUCUCCACUGAUUCCUCCUAUGGCCAAAUCGAAGCCGAAAUCCUGGCCAAACGGCCGGAAUACGCGGCCGAAGCCCAGCGGCGCCGCCGCGCCCGCUCUCGGUUUUUACCUCCGACGAGGCCCUUCCCGGCCUCCGUUCGAUGCAAUUUUUAUAUCACCGUGAUCAUCAUUCUUUUCUCUACAGGUUGACCGGAGCCGAAUCACCAAAACACGAACCUCGCCGGAGAGCCG
This 518-nucleotide long non-coding RNA is filed under the name Carica papaya (papaya). Its description in RNAcentral is "long non-coding RNA (CPAP_LNC014519)". Lineage: Eukaryota; Viridiplantae; Streptophyta; Magnoliopsida; Brassicales; Caricaceae. The record is from RNAcentral.